GGGUUGUGAGGUUAAGCGACUAAGCGUACACGGUGGAUGCCCUGGCAGUCAGAGGCGAUGAAGGACGUGCUAAUCUGCGAUAAGCGUCGGUAAGGUGAUAUGAACCGUUAUAACCGGCGAUUUCCGAAUGGGGAAACCCAGUGUGAUUCGUCACACUAUCAUUAACUGAAUCCAUAGGUUAAUGAGGCGAACCGGGGGAACUGAAACAUCUAAGUACCCCGAGGAAAAGAAAUCAACCGAGAUUCCCCCAGUAGCGGCGAGCGAACGGGGAGCAGCCCAGAGCCUGAAUCAGUGUGUGUGUUAGUGGAAGCGUCUGGAAAGGCGCGCGAUACAGGGUGACAGCCCCGUACACAAAAAUGCACAUGCUGUGAGCUCGAUGAGUAGGGCGGGACACGUGGUAUCCUGUCUGAAUAUGGGGGGACCAUCCUCCAAGGCUAAAUACUCCUGACUGACCGAUAGUGAACCAGUACCGUGAGGGAAAGGCGAAAAGAACCCCGGCGAGGGGAGUGAAAAAGAACCUGAAACCGUGUACGUACAAGCAGUGGGAGCACAGAGCAAUCUGUGUGACUGCGUACCUUUUGUAUAAUGGGUCAGCGACUUAUAUUCUGUAGCAAGGUUAACCGAAUAGGGGAGCCGAAGGGAAACCGAGUCUUAACUGGGCGUUAAGUUGCAGGGUAUAGACCCGAAACCCGGUGAUCUAGCCAUGGGCAGGUUGAAGGUUGGGUAACACUAACUGGAGGACCGAACCGACUAAUGUUGAAAAAUUAGCGGAUGACUUGUGGCUGGGGGUGAAAGGCCAAUCAAACCGGGAGAUAGCUGGUUCUCCCCGAAAGCUAUUUAGGUAGCGCCUCGUGAAUUCAUCUCCGGGGGUAGAGCACUGUUUCGGCAAGGGGGUCAUCCCGACUUACCAACCCGAUGCAAACUGCGAAUACCGGAGAAUGUUAUCACGGGAGACACACGGCGGGUGCUAACGUCCGUCGUGAAGAGGGAAACAACCCAGACCGCCAGCUAAGGUCCCAAAGUCAUGGUUAAGUGGGAAACGAUGUGGGAAGGCCCAGACAGCCAGGAUGUUGGCUUAGAAGCAGCCAUCAUUUAAAGAAAGCGUAAUAGCUCACUGGUCGAGUCGGCCUGCGCGGAAGAUGUAACGGGGCUAAACCAUGCACCGAAGCUGCGGCAGCGACACUUAUGUGUUGUUGGGUAGGGGAGCGUUCUGUAAGCCUGCGAAGGUGUGCUGUGAGGCAUGCUGGAGGUAUCAGAAGUGCGAAUGCUGACAUAAGUAACGAUAAAGCGGGUGAAAAGCCCGCUCGCCGGAAGACCAAGGGUUCCUGUCCAACGUUAAUCGGGGCAGGGUGAGUCGACCCCUAAGGCGAGGCCGAAAGGCGUAGUCGAUGGGAAACAGGUUAAUAUUCCUGUACUUGGUGUUACUGCGAAGGGGGGACGGAGAAGGCUAUGUUGGCCGGGCGACGGUUGUCCCGGUUUAAGCGUGUAGGCUGGUUUUCCAGGCAAAUCCGGAAAAUCAAGGCUGAGGCGUGAUGACGAGGCACUACGGUGCUGAAGCAACAAAUGCCCUGCUUCCAGGAAAAGCCUCUAAGCAUCAGGUAACAUCAAAUCGUACCCCAAACCGACACAGGUGGUCAGGUAGAGAAUACCAAGGCGCUUGAGAGAACUCGGGUGAAGGAACUAGGCAAAAUGGUGCCGUAACUUCGGGAGAAGGCACGCUGAUAUGUAGGUGAAGUCCCUCGCGGAUGGAGCUGAAAUCAGUCGAAGAUACCAGCUGGCUGCAACUGUUUAUUAAAAACACAGCACUGUGCAAACACGAAAGUGGACGUAUACGGUGUGACGCCUGCCCGGUGCCGGAAGGUUAAUUGAUGGGGUCAGCGCAAGCGAAGCUCUUGAUCGAAGCCCCGGUAAACGGCGGCCGUAACUAUAACGGUCCUAAGGUAGCGAAAUUCCUUGUCGGGUAAGUUCCGACCUGCACGAAUGGCGUAAUGAUGGCCAGGCUGUCUCCACCCGAGACUCAGUGAAAUUGAACUCGCUGUGAAGAUGCAGUGUACCCGCGGCAAGACGGAAAGACCCCGUGAACCUUUACUAUAGCUUGACACUGAACAUUGAGCCUUGAUGUGUAGGAUAGGUGGGAGGCUUUGAAGUGUGGACGCCAGUCUGCAUGGAGCCGACCUUGAAAUACCACCCUUUAAUGUUUGAUGUUCUAACGUUGACCCGUGAUCCGGGUUGCGGACAGUGUCUGGUGGGUAGUUUGACUGGGGCGGUCUCCUCCUAAAGAGUAACGGAGGAGCACGAAGGUUGGCUAAUCCUGGUCGGACAUCAGGAGGUUAGUGCAAUGGCAUAAGCCAGCUUGACUGCGAGCGUGACGGCGCGAGCAGGUGCGAAAGCAGGUCAUAGUGAUCCGGUGGUUCUGAAUGGAAGGGCCAUCGCUCAACGGAUAAAAGGUACUCCGGGGAUAACAGGCUGAUACCGCCCAAGAGUUCAUAUCGACGGCGGUGUUUGGCACCUCGAUGUCGGCUCAUCACAUCCUGGGGCUGAAGUAGGUCCCAAGGGUAUGGCUGUUCGCCAUUUAAAGUGGUACGCGAGCUGGGUUUAGAACGUCGUGAGACAGUUCGGUCCCUAUCUGCCGUGGGCGCUGGAGAACUGAGGGGGGCUGCUCCUAGUACGAGAGGACCGGAGUGGACGCAUCACUGGUGUUCGGGUUGUCAUGCCAAUGGCACUGCCCGGUAGCUAAAUGCGGAAGAGAUAAGUGCUGAAAGCAUCUAAGCACGAAACUUGCCCCGAGAUGAGUUCUCCCUGACUCCUUGAGAGUCCUGAAGGAACGUUGAAGACGACGACGUUGAUAGGCCGGGUGUGUAAGCGCAGCGAUGCGUUGAGCUAACCGGUACUAAUGAACCGUGAGGCUUAACCUUACAACGCCGAAG
Molecule: ribosomal RNA, 2927 nt
Filed under: Escherichia coli
Lineage: Bacteria; Pseudomonadati; Pseudomonadota; Gammaproteobacteria; Enterobacterales; Enterobacteriaceae
Description: 23S ribosomal RNA
Rfam family: Bacterial large subunit ribosomal RNA
Source: RNAcentral